AAAGUGCUGGGAUUACAGGUGUGAAUCAUUGUGCCUGGCCUGUGCACACUUUUUAUAAUGGGAUUUCUCUUCCUUACUUUUGAUGUCCCCUCUCUCAUACUUAGUUAACCAUUUUGAAUUCCACUUAGUAAGAAAAGUUUCCAUUUUCUUUUUCUUCAGGGGACUUAGAUAUGAUCUGCACCUAGAUGGUAAGAAGAUUUUCCAUAUUUUGAAGUAGAAACUUUCUGUAUGCCUGAAUCUUGCUGUCAAGAAUGUCUUGGCUAAUCAUGAAGGAAGAAUAUAAGAAUUUACAGUGGGUCAGCUUGUUCUGUGCUAACAUGGAAGUGACAAGAAGCUGGUGUCCCUCUACACAGAGGUCCCCACACUAAAUAUCAUCUUGGAUGUGCUUCACAUUGUUGCACAAAGGUGAUUUUUAAAAUUUGUAUGCAGCCAAGUCACUAUGAAUUAUCUUUAGUGAGUAAAGAGGAAGAUCGAACUGGUAACACUGUGGGUAAACAACUGAAAAAUAAUGUUAUCUUUCUCUGAACAUACUUGCACAAGACAAAUUCCAAAAAUAUUUUGACUACGUUAUUUUUGAAAAGGGUUUCCAGUAUUUCAAUGUGACUACUUUCACUAAUGGUACUUGCUUACCUAAAGUGCUUGUUAACAUGCAGUUUUGGAACUUCAUAGGUCUAUGCCCAUACUGACUUGUACUUGCUUAGUGUUGUUUUACAUUCUAGUUCAACAUCUAUUAUGUGAUAGACACUGGGGAUUAAUAGGCUGUGGUCUUUGCCCAUGAGGACCUCAAAACUUAGUUGAGAACACAGAAAUACAAAGAGUCCUGUGUGAAAAAUAAGUAUCGGUGUUAAGAUAAAGAAGCGGCAGUGGAAGACAGUGGAGGGACUGUCUGUUAGAGGGAGGAAUUUAUUGUGGUGUCGGCAAAGCCUUCUUUGGACUGAAGGAUGAAUUAUGAUUAGAAGUUCAUUAAGAGGAGGAGGGAAGGGGACUACAGGAGUCAUUCCAAGCCAAAGGAACAAAAGAUACAGGGACAGAAACAGCAAGAUAUGUUUGGGGGAAUCUCAAGUUAGUCAAUACUGUUAUUGUGUGAAGUUCACAACAGGGGCAGGGAGGACAGGAGAUGGGGCCCAAUGACGAAAAGGCCUUGUAUGUACCAUGUUUAGAAGUUUGAAUUUUAUCCUAUAGGAGUCAGGGAGAGGUUCUAUGGGUAGGAUUUCCCAUCCCAACAGGAUUGUAAACUCCCACAUCCAAUUAGUCACACCUCCAUUUUUUUUUUUUUCUGUUUCUUUAACAUUGUCUCGGAUUCAUUCCUUCUGAAAUCUACCUUAUUAGUUCAGGUCUUCUUAAAUUUGUGCCUGGACUGUUCACCAACUCUUGACUGGUCCUGGGGCUCCAGUUCACCUCUUGCUCCCAACAAUCAAUUUUCUACAGAAUUAUCAGAGCAAUCUUCCUUUCCAUCAAUCUCAACUCUGUUCAAAAACUUUCAAUAGUUUUAUGUGACCUAAGAGGUAGCUGCCUCCCCACCCUUUCAGCUUGCCAUUCAAGGCUGCAUAAUUUGGUCCCAACCCCCUUUCCGUCCUUGACUCCUCUCACUGCUAACAGAGACAGAACUCAUUUACUUACUCUUUUGACUGUACCUUUGCUUUCACGAGGGCUCUUUCCUGGAAUGAUAUGUCCAUACAACUAUUGUUGCUGUUCUUACUUUUAGCUCUUUUCUUAGAAGCCCACUUGUACCCAGGUUUGAUCACACCCCCUACUCUCCUGCCCUGGAAGUAACUACUAUUCUGGUUAUAGUCUCUUAAUAUCUAUAUCUAUAUAUAUGCAUCCACAGAUAAUGUGUAGUAUUGUCUUGAAAAAAAUAUACACAAAUGGUAUACUUUGUCUCCCUCUGUGAUUAGUUUUUUCACUAUCAUUUAGUUUUUAAGAUUUAUUCCUAUUGACAUAAAUAGCUAUAGUCUUUUCAAUUACUGUGUUGCAUUUCAUUUUAUAAAUAUACCAUACAUUAUUCAUCCAUUCCUCUAAGGGUGGGCAUUUAUGUUGUUUUCAAGGUUUUGCUAUUACAGUGUUACAACGAAUAUCCUUAGCUUAGCUGGUCUCCUUGUCUUAUACAAAUUUUACUGACCUUUCAAGAUCCCGCUUUCAUCCCAGCUCCUCUGGGAAAGCCUUCCCUGAAUCCCCCAGCCCACAGCGGCAAAGUCUUGGUACUCAAAGUUGCUUGUGCAUCUUUGGUAUCAUCCCACUGCCAAGCACACAGCUACGCAAAGUAAGGCACUUAAGAAAUAUUCGCUACACGGAUGAACAAAUGAAUGAAUGAAUGGGGCAGCACCACUCCGUAAUGGCUCUAUUCCUUUUUAAUGGACUUUGGCGCCUUGGCCCACUUUCCUUCUUUGACAGCACUGGUCCUACUCCAGAGCAUUCCUCUAGCUAGCAAAGCAGUGUGUGGAUGUGUGGGUGUAGGUGGCGAUACAGACCU
This 2470-nucleotide long non-coding RNA is filed under the name Homo sapiens (human). RNAcentral describes it as "HSALNT0295067". Lineage: Eukaryota; Metazoa; Chordata; Mammalia; Primates; Hominidae. The record is from RNAcentral.